Long non-coding RNA from Gopherus evgoodei (Goodes thornscrub tortoise), 1728 nucleotides. RefSeq lists it as uncharacterized. The transcript is spliced from 8 exons. NCBI's taxonomy places the organism in Eukaryota, Metazoa, Chordata, Testudines, Testudinidae. The record is from RefSeq and is a predicted model, not a curated record.
GCAGCCGCCACCGCCGCAGCUUCUUCCCAUCGGACUAAUAACUCCUCUCCCCCUCCCCCUGUCAUCCUCCUCCAAAACAAAACCGCGCGCAGCACACACACAAACCGUGUAGGGGAGUCAGCAGCACCUCGCUUAGGCGUAGGGCUGGUUCCUGCAACUUCUAGCCCCGUCUCAGAUGUGAGUCAGAGUGAGGUGCCCUUUCGGGGGGGUGGGAGUGUGGCAUUUGCUUAUUAGCGAGGGGUGCAGUGGUUGCAGCUCAGGGCUGAUUUGAUUUCUUCCCCCCCCCCAAGGCACUCCCUUUGAAUGGGGCUGGAAAGUUGCGAAGCGGGCUGGGCGGCAUGAGAAAGUUUAAACGCUAAGCGAGGAGAGAUCCUUUGUUCUGCUAGGGGGGACCUUUGGAGAGGGUGGCUGAGCCAGACACGUCCAGGUCAGAAGCGAUCGACAGCAAUUAGCCUUUCCCGUCAAACGCCUCCCUCCACCCAAAGGAGCCAGGCGCUGGGAGGAGGAAAGCGGAAGGUGUAUCAAUCACACCAAGGUAAAGUGUGAUUGUCAGAGAAGCUUGAUGGCUGCCAAAACACCUUACAGCAAUAGGUGCCAUAUUGCAUUUGCUCUUCAAAUGGUGGAAUACAGCUGUGGAUGCUUUAGUUGGGAGUAACAGAGUACAAACUAAAGACAUCAAACAUCGUCAUUUGGAUUUAUACAUCUAUUAACAAACUGAUGGUAGUGGCUCUUGAAGAAAUCAGAAAAUAUGGAAGGUGCUGUUGAAAAUGGUCUGGAGGUUGCUUUGACAAUGAUAUUCUACAAUUAAAAUAAGGGAAUUGGCCAUAUCUCUUUCUUUUGCCCGGUUGCUGAAGCAUUGUCACAGGACAGCAAGGAUUGAUGAAUAUUCUUCAGUAUAGGUUCAAAGCAAGAAAUUUGAGAAUCUAGAGGAGCCAAACAAAGAUAAAUAGUGAGCUGAUUUUCCAAACUGGCAUUGACAUACUAGGAUUUGGAAGAAGUACGCUUGUAUGAGUCAUGUCAGUACAGUGAAAGAGGAGGAUUUAUAUUUUUGAAGGGGGAUUGUGUAUGUGAUCAAAGGAUUUACAUGCAGCUCUCUGUGCUGUAGUUCCUUCCUGCUCCAGGAAGGACACCUGGGGUUUCCCUGGAUAGGAACGAGGCCCAAAAGUCAAGCCAGUCUUCCUGAGUGAGAGACCUGCUCAGAAACUGCUCACUGAAGGACAGUAGGUCUUGCCUGUCACUCUUGCUGUUAUGGCAGGAGGUAUUACAAUGGUGACCAAGCUAUGUCCAGGUUAUGCCUUUCUUCAGAUACUAAGGACUGCAGGAACUCAUUUAUCGUUAAAUUUGAAAUAGGCAUUGGUCUGAUGUGCAUCUUGGGUGAUACUACAACAUGCUCCUGGCAUAUUGGCAGGCUUCGAGUUGCGCUGUUUGGAAGAAGCAACGUCGUCUUCUCUCACAGCUACGACGCGGCACCGCUCUCAGCAUAUCCUGCUUUUUUCCCCCAUUUACCUGGGCGGCUUCUGCUGUUUCUGUUGCUGCUGCUGGGGCUGCUGCAGUUUUGCUGCCUGUGCUUCACCCUGGCAUGUCUGAGUCGGGAAUCACUCGUCUGCACGCUGCUAAGGAAGAGCAGCGAUGGAACUCUGGCCACAUUUUAUUUUUCUGGAAGAGAGGGGUUGUGAUGUGGGGUGGGGGUUUUUUUUGGAAGGGUGGGGACAUUAAUCCAAAGUGAGG